RNAcentral lists this ribosomal RNA (507 nucleotides) under Toxoplasma gondii ME49. Its description in RNAcentral is "Toxoplasma gondii rRNA TGME49_458610". The record is from RNAcentral. Lineage: Eukaryota; Apicomplexa; Conoidasida; Eucoccidiorida; Sarcocystidae.
GGGUUUGGAUUCCUAUCAUUCCAAUCACUAGAAAUGAAAUUUCCAGUGUUGUUAUUUCUUGUCACUACCUCCCUGAAUCAGGAUUGGGUAAUUUGCGCGCCUGCUGCCUUCCUUAGAUGUGGUAGCCGUUUCUCAGGCUCCCUCUCCGGAAUCGAACCCUAAUUCCCCGUUACCCGUCACUGCCACGGUAGUCCAAUACAGUACCGCCGAAAGCUGAUAGGUCAGAAACUUGAAUGAUCCGUCGCAGACCGAAGUCAACGCGAUCCGUUCGGUUACUAUGAAUCACCUGAGGACCACCGGAAGGUGGGUUGGUUCUGUAUCUAAUAAACACUGCCCUUCCAGGGGAAGAGGCAUGUGCGCAUGUAUUAGCCAUAGAAUUACCACGGUUAUCCAUGUAGUAAAGACCAUCAAAUAAACUAUAACUGUUUUAAUGAGCCAUUCGCAGUUUAGCCGUAUAAAAGCUUAUACUUAGACAUGCAUGGCUUAAUCUUUAAGACAAGCAUAUGA